Molecule: ribosomal RNA, 253 nt
Filed under: uncultured bacterium
Lineage: Bacteria
Description: partial 16S ribosomal RNA
Rfam family: Bacterial small subunit ribosomal RNA
Source: RNAcentral
UACAGAGGGAGCAAGCGUUGUUCGGAAUUACUGGGCGUAAAGGGCGCGUAGGCGGUUCGAUAAGUCCCGUGUGAAAUCCCUCGGCUCAACUGAGGAAUGGCACGGGAAACUGACGGGCUUGAGUUCGGGAGAGGGAAGCGGAAUUCCGGGUGUAGCGGUGAAAUGCGUAGAUAUCCGGAGGAACACCGGUGGCGAAGGCGGCUUCCUGGACCGAUACUGACGCUGAGGCACGAAAGCGUGGGGAGCAAACAGG